AAAUAGCUUCUCUUCAUUGUUUCAAAUGGAUAAAAAAGUGAAAUGUCCACAAUGUCCUUCAUUUUUUUCUUCCAGUUUUUCUUCUUUUCUUCAUAUUUCUUUUUUUCUCCCCUCCUUUUUUUUCUUCUCUUUCCUUCAUCUCUUCAUCACCCCGUUUCCUUCCUUAUCCACUCGCACCAUCAGCCCCCCAGCGCCUCUGCUCCAUCUCGCACCGCCGGCCCCGGCUCCUUCGCUCCCAGUGCACCAGCCCGCUGGCCUAGCGCCGCCUCCCUCUGGCCCGCACGGAUGCGCCACCUCCCUUCGGCGUGCGCCCCAGCGCCGCCUCCCUCCAACCCGCGCCAAUGCGCCGCCUCCCUCCGGCGCGCGCCCUGUCCCAGCCAUGGAGCUCCACCGCGCCGUUGCUCUGCCCCACGCCUGCUCCCUGCUGUCCUCGGCCAUGGGCCACGGUGGGUAAAAGGGUCACAUGCACCCGCGGUUGAGGAUGAAGCCGCGGGGAGCCAAAUUUUUUGGCUUCUCCCCCACCAAAACGCUCCAGAGAGUGGAUUUCAUGGAGCUCCUGCACUGGAGCCGUUUUGCUUGUGCCCCUUUGGUAGGGCUUCACCAGAAGCCGGUGGAGGAGCCGGUGGUGAAGCCCUGCCAAACGGAGCCAAAUAUUAACAUAAACUUAAAUGCCGACAGUAUGUUGCACUAUGCUUAAAUCACUGUACAUGAGUCCAAUACUAGAUAGCCCCAAUAUAAUCAAGCCAGAACAACACCUUGAACCAACCUGAGUGUUGAUUCUACACAAUUACCUUACCAAAACCAGGGAUCCAUACUGGUUUAACGUUGAACUACUACACACCAGCAAUCAAUGCGAAGUUAUCAGCAACACUAACAACAGGGCGAAAUAUAGAUGCAGAUGUACUUCUACAGUACAAUAGCUGCUGCUAAAUCAACUCAGCUGUUGAACCCCAACCUUGCAGGAUUGUAACUAACACAAUUCCACACCAACCAAACCAAACCCGCAAGCAACUGAUCGGAUGCAAAAUCGGGAGGAGCGACAAGUCAAAGUCAACCCACUCAC
RNAcentral lists this long non-coding RNA (1063 nucleotides) under Setaria viridis. Its description in RNAcentral is "long non-coding RNA (SVIR_LNC010107)". The record is from RNAcentral. Lineage: Eukaryota; Viridiplantae; Streptophyta; Magnoliopsida; Poales; Poaceae.